GCCAGGCAUAGUGGUGCACGCCUGUAAUCCCAGCAGCUCAGGAGGCUGAGACAGGAGGAUAGAGAGUUCAAAGCCAGCCUCAGCAAACACAAGAUGCUAAGCAAUUCAGUGAGACCCUGUCUCUA
RNAcentral lists this small RNA (125 nucleotides) under Marmota monax (woodchuck). The record is from RNAcentral. Lineage: Eukaryota; Metazoa; Chordata; Mammalia; Rodentia; Sciuridae.